AUUGAACGCUGGCGGAAUGCUUUACACAUGCAAGUCGAACGGCAGCACGGACUUCGGUCUGGUGGCGAGUGGCGAACGGGUGAGUAAUGUAUCGGAACGUGCCCAGUCGUGGGGGAUAACGUAGUGAAAAUUACGCUAAUACCGCAUACGACCUAUGGAUGAAAGCGGGGGAUCGCAAGACCUCGCGCGAUUGGAGCGGCCGAUAUCAGAUUAGGUAGUUGGUGGGGUAAAGGCCCACCAAGCCAACGAUCUGUAGCUGGUCUGAGAGGACGACCAGCCAAACUGGAACUGAGGCACGGUCCAGACUCCUACGGGAGGCAGCAGUGGGGAAUGUUGGACAGUGGGCGAAAGCCUGAUCCAGCCAUUCCGCGUGCAGGAUGAAGGCCCUCGGGUUGUAAACUGCUUUUGUACAGAACGAAAAGGUUUCUACUAAUACUAGGAGCUCAUGACGGUACUGUAAGAAUAAGCACCGGCUAACUACGUGCCAGCCGCCGCCGUAA
Molecule: ribosomal RNA, 500 nt
Filed under: uncultured bacterium
Lineage: Bacteria
Description: partial 16S ribosomal RNA
Rfam family: Bacterial small subunit ribosomal RNA
Source: RNAcentral